This 643-nucleotide ribosomal RNA is filed under the name uncultured Sordariales. RNAcentral describes it as "eukaryotic LSU rRNA". It matches the Rfam family "Eukaryotic large subunit ribosomal RNA", at positions 1 to 654 of the family's 3401-position model. Lineage: Eukaryota; Fungi; Ascomycota; Sordariomycetes; Sordariales. The record is from RNAcentral.
UAAAGCUUAGAAGGUUGACCUCGGAUCAGGUAGGACUACCCGCUGAACUUAAGCAUAUCAAUAAGCGGAGGGAAAGAACCAACAGGGAUUGCCCUAGUAACGGCGAGUGAAGCGGCAACAGCUCAAAUUUGAAAUCUGGCCUCGGGCCCGAGUUGUAAUUUGUAGAGGAUGCUUUGGGCGUCGGCGCCUCCAGAGUUCCCUGGAAUGGGACGCCAUAGAGGGUGAGAGCCCCGUACGGUGGGAUGCCUAGCCUCUGUAAAGCUCCUUCGACGAGUCGAGUAGUUUGGGAAUGCUGCUCAAAAUGGGAGGUAAAUUUCUUCUAAAGCUAAAUACCGGCCAGAGACCGAUAGCGCACAAGUAGAGUGAUCGAAAGAUGAAAAGCACUUUGAAAAGAGGGUCAAAAAGUACGUGAAAUUGUUGAAAGGGAAGCGCUUGCGACCAGACUUGUGCCCAGUGAAUCAUCCGGCGUUUUCGCCGGUGCGCUUCACUGGGUUCAGGCCAGCAUCGGUUCUCUCAGGGCGUUAAAAACAGCGGGAAUGUGGCUCUUCAGGGAGUGUUAUAGCCCGCUGUAAAAUAUCCUUGGGGGGAUCGAGGACCGCGCUUCGGCACGGAUGCUGGCGUAAUGGUCAUCAGCGACCCGUCU